Pezoporus flaviventris is the source of this 637-nucleotide long non-coding RNA. RefSeq lists it as uncharacterized. The transcript is spliced from 3 exons. The record is from RefSeq and is a predicted model, not a curated record. NCBI's taxonomy places the organism in Eukaryota, Metazoa, Chordata, Aves, Psittaciformes, Psittacidae.
AUAAUUCUGGUUACAAAAGUAAUCAAAUUUUACAGGAAAGCCCUACCUUAUACACACAUGUGAGUAACUCACAAAAGAAUAUUUUCUCCUUCAAUUCUACUUAUGCUUGAAGCACAAAGGCACACUUGAAUACAUAAUUUGCUAGCACUCACUGUUUGAGUUAUGUGUAUAAGCACACACCUGCCCUCACAUGAACAAAGAUGAGUUUCAGUGUUUGCAAGCCAAAAAGCUACACAAUUGUAUUGGACAUAAUAGUAAAAUAAGUUGCAUCUGACAAGAAGCAGAGCAUAUUCAGUUUAAAAACCCCACUUAAUCUAGUUGAAUUCUAACAAAUAAAUAAUUGUCCUUUUCUAGUCUGCUGUGUGGAAGAUCCAUGGGGGAAAGCUGGAGAGUGAGCAAUCUGAAGAGGAAGUUCAUUCUUCUCUUUUGUCCCUACCAGCUGCAGAAAUAAACCACCUCUGCCUCACCUGAGCCUGCAAAACAGAUUGUACAUUUCUUCCAUGAUGCUUCAUUCUCAAGAGGUAAUAUAUUUGUAACCUGCAUGUGAAAUGCUGAUGUGUGAGCAAAUGAUGUACCAACCCUUUCACAGUAAUUCCACUUUCACAUUCAAAGACCAUCCUCCUGCUCAGCAUGGAGA